Molecule: long non-coding RNA, 298 nt
Filed under: Citrus sinensis (sweet orange)
Lineage: Eukaryota; Viridiplantae; Streptophyta; Magnoliopsida; Sapindales; Rutaceae
Description: long non-coding RNA (CSIN_LNC002473)
Source: RNAcentral
AUUUGAGGAAUUGGUUGCAUUGGUGGAGCUGGAGCUGCUGGUCCAUUCUGUUGGAGUCCUUGAGACCAUGAAAAAUUGGGGUGGUCUCUCCAUCCAGGGUUAUAUGUGUUGGAGUAUGGGUUGUAAUUUGAUGGCUUUCUCAUUACACCUAUGGCAUUGGCUUGAUCUGAGUAUGAGUCAUGGUCAUGUGGUUCUGUUGAUUUAGCAGUCGAUAACGAUGCUAUUUGUCGAGCAAGACCUUCAACCAUCUCCUUGACUUCUUUGAUUCCCGAAGUUGACUCGCCAAUGUGAACCUCAU